GAUGAAGAACGCAGCGAAAUGCGAUAAGUAAUGUGAAUUGCAGAAUUCAGUGAAUCAUCGAAUCUUUGAACGCACAUUGCGCCCGCCAGUAUUCUGGCGGACAUGCCUGUUCGAGCGUCAUUACAACCCUCAGGCCCCCGGGCCUGGCGUUGGGGAUCGGCGGAAGCCCCCUGCGGGCACAACGCCGUCCCCCAAAUACAGUGGCGGUCCCGCCGCAGCUUCCAUUGCGUAGUAGCUAACACCUCGCAACUGGAGAGCGCCGCGGCCACGCCGUAAAACACCCAACUUCUGAAUGUUGACCUCGAAUCAGGUAGGAAUACCCGCUGAACUUAAGCAUAUCAAUAAGCGGAGGA
This 353-nucleotide unclassified non-coding RNA is filed under the name soil metagenome. Its description in RNAcentral is "partial contains 5.8S ribosomal RNA, internal transcribed spacer 2, and large subunit ribosomal RNA". The stretch from base 1 to 120 matches the Rfam family "5.8S ribosomal RNA", at positions 35 to 154 of the family's 154-position model. The record is from RNAcentral.